This 155-nucleotide ribosomal RNA is filed under the name uncultured bacterium. Its description in RNAcentral is "partial 16S ribosomal RNA". It matches the Rfam family "Bacterial small subunit ribosomal RNA", at positions 199 to 353 of the family's 1533-position model. The record is from RNAcentral.
ACCUUCGGGCCUCUUGCCAUCGGAUGUGCCCAGAUGGGAUUAGCUAGUAGGUAGGGUAACGGCUCACCUAGGGCGACGAUCCCUAGCUGGUCUGAGAGGAUGACCAGCCACACUGGAACUGAGACACGGUCCAGACUCCUACGGGAGGCAGCAUG